Molecule: transfer RNA, 70 nt
Filed under: Fissilabia decollata
Lineage: Eukaryota; Metazoa; Mollusca; Gastropoda; Planaxidae
Description: partial tRNA-Thr
Source: RNAcentral
GCAGUUUGUAGCUCAUGUAAGAGCGUUGGUCUUGUAAACCAAAGGUUGAAUAAUAAUAUUUCUACUGCUU